CAGCAGCCGCGGGAAUACAGAGGGUGCGAGCGUUAAUCGGAUUUACUGGGCGUAAAGCGUGCGUAGGCGGCUAAUUGAGUCGGAUGUGAAAUCCCCGAGCUUAACUUGGGAAUUGCAUUCGAUACUGGUUAGCUAGAGUGUGGGAGAGGAUGGUAGAAUUCAAGGUGUAGCGGUGAAAUGCGUAGAGAUCUGGAGGAAUACCGAUGGCGAAGGCAGCCAUCUGGCCUAACACUGACGCUGAGGUACGAAAGCAUGGGGAGCAAACAGGAUUAGAUACCCCGGUAGUCCCUGUCUCUUAUAA
This 301-nucleotide ribosomal RNA is filed under the name uncultured bacterium. RNAcentral's name for it is "partial 16S ribosomal RNA". It matches the Rfam family "Bacterial small subunit ribosomal RNA", at positions 509 to 809 of the family's 1533-position model. The record is from RNAcentral.